This 465-nucleotide ribosomal RNA is filed under the name Vreelandella stevensii. Its description in RNAcentral is "partial 16S ribosomal RNA". It matches the Rfam family "Bacterial small subunit ribosomal RNA", at positions 338 to 795 of the family's 1533-position model. The record is from RNAcentral. Lineage: Bacteria; Pseudomonadati; Pseudomonadota; Gammaproteobacteria; Oceanospirillales; Halomonadaceae.
CCUACGGGUGGCAGCAGUGGGGAAUAUUGGACAAUGGGGGGAACCCUGAUCCAGCCAUGCCGCGUGUGUGAAGAAGGCCCUCGGGUUGUAAAGCACUUUCAGUGAGGAAGAACGCCUGGUGGUUAAUACCCAUCAGGAAAGACAUCACUCACAGAAGAAGCACCGGCUAACUCCGUGCCAGCAGCCGCGGUAAUACGGAGGGUGCGAGCGUUAAUCGGAAUUACUGGGCGUAAAGCGCGCGUAGGUGGCUUGAUAAGCCGGUUGUGAAAGCCCCGGGCUCAACCUGGGAACGGCAUCCGGAACUGUCAAGCUAGAGUGCAGGAGAGGAAGGUAGAAUUCCCGGUGUAGUGGUGAAAUGCGUAGAGAUCGGGAGGAAUACCAGUGGCGAAGGCGGCCUUCUGGACUGACACUGACACUGAGGUGCGAAAGCGUGGGUAGCAAACAGGAUUAGAUACCCUGGUAGUC